UACGUAGGGGGCAAGCGUUAUCCGGAUUUACUGGGUGUAAAGGGAGCGUAGGUGGUUCGGUAAGUCAGAUGUGAAAGCCCGGGGCUCAACCCCGGGACUGCAUUUGAAACUAUCGAACUAGAGUGCAGGAGAGGUAAGUGGAAUUCCUAGUGUAGAGGUGAAAUGCGUAGAUAUUAGGAGGAACACCGGUGGCGAAGGCGGCUCACUGGACUGUAACUGACGCUGAGGUGCGAAAGCGUGGGGAGCAAACAGG
RNAcentral lists this ribosomal RNA (253 nucleotides) under uncultured bacterium. RNAcentral describes it as "partial 16S ribosomal RNA". It matches the Rfam family "Bacterial small subunit ribosomal RNA", at positions 524 to 776 of the family's 1533-position model. The record is from RNAcentral.